AAGUCGUAACAAGGUUUCCGUAGGUGAACCUGCGGAAGGAUCAUUAACACGUAUCCAAACGUUAACCCCCCUGUGAACCUUUAGUGUGCUCGUACGCUUUGUCAGAGCGUGGCAAUCCCUAGUAAAUCAUCGCCGAACAGUUUUCGAUUUAGGGACUUCCACAAAGAGUGUGCUCGUAGCGCGAGGCAAGUGGCCUGGCAUUCCCAAGCAGUUGGUGUCUGAAAGUGUCACUGGCUGUGUAAGGAUGGCGCAGUCACGAUCGUUGGAGGCCGACACGGCCGACGACCGGGUCACCGGGCUCACGCCCCUUAAUCACAACUUAAUGCAUGUCAGACGCGCCUGCGCUUAAUUGUGCGGCGACCAUAAAACUCGAACAACUGUUAACAAUGGAUAUCUUGGUUCUC
Molecule: unclassified non-coding RNA, 404 nt
Filed under: fungal sp.
Lineage: Eukaryota; Fungi
Also listed under: 1 other name
Description: partial internal transcribed spacer region
Rfam family: Eukaryotic small subunit ribosomal RNA (bases 1-46)
Source: RNAcentral